This 1492-nucleotide ribosomal RNA is filed under the name metagenome. Its description in RNAcentral is "bacterial SSU rRNA". It matches the Rfam family "Bacterial small subunit ribosomal RNA". The record is from RNAcentral.
AGAGUUUGAUCCUGGCUCAGGACGAACGCUGGCGGCACGCUUAACACAUGCAAGUCGAACGAGAGAAGAGGAGCUUGCUUUUCUGAUCUAGUGGCGGACGGGUGAGUAACACGUGAGCAAUCUGCCUUUCAGAGGGGGAUACCGAUUGGAAACGAUCGUUAAUACCGCAUAACAUAAUUGAACCGCAUGAUUUGAUUAUCAAAGAUUUAUCGCUGAAAGAUGAGCUCGCGUCUGAUUAGCUAGUUGGUAAGGUAACGGCUUACCAAGGCGACGAUCAGUAGCCGGACUGAGAGGUUGAUCGGCCACAUUGGGACUGAGACACGGCCCAGACUCCUACGGGAGGCAGCAGUGGGGAAUAUUGCACAAUGGAGGAAACUCUGAUGCAGCGAUGCCGCGUGAGGGAAGAAGGUUUUAGGAUUGUAAACCUCUGUCUUCAGGGACGAAAAAAGACGGUACCUGAGGAGGAAGCUCCGGCUAACUACGUGCCAGCAGCCGCGGUAAUACGUAGGGAGCGAGCGUUGUCCGGAAUUACUGGGUGUAAAGGGAGCGUAGGCGGGAUCGCAAGUCAGAUGUGAAAACUAUGGGCUUAACCCAUAAACUGCAUUUGAAACUGUGGUUCUUGAGUGAAGUAGAGGUAAGCGGAAUUCCUAGUGUAGCGGUGAAAUGCGUAGAUAUUAGGAGGAACAUCAGUGGCGAAGGCGGCUUACUGGGCUUUAACUGACGCUGAGGCUCGAAAGCGUGGGGAGCAAACAGGAUUAGAUACCCUGGUAGUCCACGCCGUAAACGAUGAUUACUAGGUGUGGGGGGACUGACCCCUUCCGUGCCGCAGCAAACGCAAUAAGUAAUCCACCUGGGGAGUACGACCGCAAGGUUGAAACUCAAAGGAAUUGACGGGGGCCCGCACAAGCAGUGGAGUAUGUGGAUUAAUUCGAAGCAACGCGAAGAACCUUACCAGGUCUUGACAUCGUAUGCAUAGCUCAGAGAUGAGUGAAAUCUCUUCGGAGACAUAUAGACAGGUGGUGCAUGGUUGUCGUCAGCUCGUGUCGUGAGAUGUUGGGUUAAGUCCCGCAACGAGCGCAACCCUUACUGUUAGUUGCUACGCAAGAGCACUCUAGCAGGACUGCCGUUGACAAAACGGAGGAAGGUGGGGAUGACGUCAAAUCAUCAUGCCCCUUAUGACCUGGGCCUCACACGUACUACAAUGGCUGUCAACAGAGGGAAGCAAAGCCGCGAGGUGGAGCGAACCCCUAAAAGCAGUCUUAGUUCGGAUUGUAGGCUGCAACCCGCCUACAUGAAGUCGGAAUUGCUAGUAAUCGCAGAUCAGCAUGCUGCGGUGAAUACGUUCCCGGGCCUUGUACACACCGCCCGUCACGCCAUGGGAGUCGGUAACACCCGAAGCCUGUAGUCUAACCGCAAGGAGGACGCAGUCGAAGGUGGGAUUGACGACUGGGGUGAAGUCGGAACAAGGUAGCCGUAUCGGAAGGUGCGGCUG